UCCCUGGUGGUCCAGUGGCUAAGGCUCUGCACUCACAAUGCAGGGGUCCCAGGUUCGAUCCCUGGUCAAGGGA
Non-coding RNA from Aethalodelphis obliquidens (Pacific white-sided dolphin), 73 nucleotides. The record is from the annotation of a RefSeq genome assembly. NCBI's taxonomy places the organism in Eukaryota, Metazoa, Chordata, Mammalia, Artiodactyla, Delphinidae.